Transfer RNA from Felis catus (domestic cat), 84 nucleotides. It matches the Rfam family "tRNA". From Rfam's summary of the family: Transfer RNA (tRNA) molecules are approximately 80 nucleotides in length. Lineage: Eukaryota; Metazoa; Chordata; Mammalia; Carnivora; Felidae. The record is from Rfam.
GCCUGGGUGGCUUAGUCGGUUAAGCAACCGACUUUGGCUCGGGUCAUGAUUCCAUGUUUGUGGGUUCGAGCCCCACCUCAGGCU